UGGCUGUCGUCAGCUCGUGCCGUGAGGUGUUGGGUUAAGUCCCGCAACGAGCGCAACCCCUAUCACUAGUUGCCAUCAGGUAAUGCUGGGAACUCUAGUGAAACUGCCGCCGUAAGGCGUGAGGAAGGAGGGGAUGAUGUCAAGUCAUCAUGGCCUUUAUGCCCAGGGCUACACACGUGCUACAAUGGCGAGUACAAAGGGUUGCUACCUGGUAACAGGAUGCUAAUCUCA
RNAcentral lists this ribosomal RNA (231 nucleotides) under uncultured bacterium. RNAcentral describes it as "partial 16S ribosomal RNA". It matches the Rfam family "Bacterial small subunit ribosomal RNA", at positions 1046 to 1276 of the family's 1533-position model. The record is from RNAcentral.